CAUGUUGCCCAGUCAGAUGUGUUUUCCCAGGUCCUUGGGCCUCACCCAAGAAUGAGGGAGAGGGCCCUGGUGGCACGGUGAGCUCAUUCAAGUAAGUAUCGGACCCAGAGAGUUUUGCUGAAAGCGAUUUAUUAGGGACAUGGUGGGGCGGAGAGGGGGAGAGAGAGAGAGAACAAGAGGAGAGAGAGGAGAAAG
Sapajus apella (tufted capuchin) is the source of this 195-nucleotide long non-coding RNA. RefSeq lists it as uncharacterized. NCBI's taxonomy places the organism in Eukaryota, Metazoa, Chordata, Mammalia, Primates, Cebidae. The record is from RefSeq and is a predicted model, not a curated record. The transcript has 3 exons.